CCCCAGGGCGGUCGGCCUGCCGCCCACCACGUAGGCUCUGCAGGGAAACAGAGUUCCACAGGCGUCGUUGCCCUCCGCCUUCAGCCCUCUGCGGGUUCGAUCCCGGCCACCCAGGUGGAAGUGCCGCCUAAGGUACAAAAUUGACCCUGCGCCACGCUAGAUCGACCGUCUCCUUGGCCCAAAUGUUACAUUCACAACCACUGCGCCAGGAAAGUUGUUUGAGAUAUUUCGCAGACCCUGCACUUGAUGGAUCAGCUGGUGCCACCCAGACAGAGAAAAUGGCUCAUCUGAUCUUGUGGCCUCCACCCAGGAACUGACUCAGCACAGAGGACGGUUUCAACUGCCUAUGAUUUCAUCUCCAACCCAACCAAUCAGCACUCUCGACUCACUGGUCUUUCCCUCACCUACCAAGAAUUAUCCUUAAACACUCUGAUCCCUGAAUGUGGAGAGACUGAUAUGAGUAAUAAUAAAACUCCAUCUU
Gorilla gorilla gorilla (western lowland gorilla) is the source of this 481-nucleotide long non-coding RNA. RefSeq lists it as uncharacterized. Lineage: Eukaryota; Metazoa; Chordata; Mammalia; Primates; Hominidae. The transcript is spliced from 3 exons. The record is from RefSeq and is a predicted model, not a curated record.